RNAcentral lists this ribosomal RNA (486 nucleotides) under uncultured bacterium. Its description in RNAcentral is "partial 16S ribosomal RNA". It matches the Rfam family "Bacterial small subunit ribosomal RNA", at positions 30 to 507 of the family's 1533-position model. The record is from RNAcentral.
AUUGAACGCUGGCGGCAUGCCUUACACAUGCAAGUCGAACGGCAGCACGGGUGCUUGCACCUGGUGGCGAGUGGCGAACGGGUGAGUAAUACAUCGGAACAUGUCCUGUAGUGGGGGAUAGCCCGGCGAAAGCCGGAUUAAUACCGCAUACGAUCUACGGAUGAAAGCGGGGGACCUUCGGGCCUCGCGCUAUAGGGUUGGCCGAUGGCUGAUUAGCUAGUUGGUGGGGUAAAGGCCUACCAAGGCGACGAUCAGCAGCUGGUCUGAGAGGACGACCAGCCACACUGGGACUGAGACACGACCCAGACUCCUACGGGAGGCAGCAGUGGGGAAUUUUGGACAAUGGGCGAAAGCCUGAUCCAGCAAUGCCGCGUGUGUGAAGAAGGCCUUCGGGUUGUAAAGCACUUUUGUCCGGAAAGAAAUCCUUGGCCCUAAUACGGUCGGGGGAUGACGGUACCGGAAGAAUAAGCACCGGCUAACUACGUG